Molecule: ribosomal RNA, 287 nt
Filed under: Geomyces sp. FF64
Lineage: Eukaryota; Fungi; Ascomycota; Leotiomycetes; Thelebolales; Pseudeurotiaceae
Also listed under: 1 other name
Description: partial 28S ribosomal RNA
Rfam family: Eukaryotic large subunit ribosomal RNA
Source: RNAcentral
UUGACCUCGGAUCAGGUAGGGAUACCCGCUGAACUUAAGCAUAUCAAUAAGCGGAGGAAAAGAAACCAACAGGGAUUACCUCAGUAACGGCGAGUGAAGCGGUAACAGCUCAAAUUUGAAAUCUGGCCUCACGGUCCGAGUUGUAAUUUGUAGAGGAUGCUUCGAGCAUGGUCUGGCCUAAGUUCCUUGGAACAGGACGUCAUAGAGGGUGAGAAUCCCGUAUGCGGCCAGGUGCCUACGCUCAUGUGAAGCUCCUUCGACGAGUCGAGUUGUUUGGGAAUGCAGCU